UUAAUAGAAGCCAAAAAGAGGCAUGUCACUGUUAAUGACAUUAAUGAAAAAUUUUUUUCCUAUUAAG
This 67-nucleotide transfer RNA is filed under the name Emerita talpoida. RNAcentral's name for it is "tRNA-Asn". Lineage: Eukaryota; Metazoa; Arthropoda; Malacostraca; Decapoda; Hippidae. The record is from RNAcentral.